AAAAAAAGAGAUGAAAUUCAUUUUAAGUAAGUUAGAAGAGCACAGUAAUACUUGGCACAGAAGUAUUGGGCAUGUUCAAAAAGCAUUACAUGUGCUGUGGAAAGGAGAAAAUGUCAGAUACACAGAAAGACUGGAAACUCUUUUGAGUCCUUUUACUUUCUGUACAUACAUGCCUUGGAUUGUUUUCCAAAGUCAACACUUGACAGAGAUUGAGGAAGAAGUAGGAAGGCUCUUUUGUACCAGUAUGUUCAACAUUCCUCAAAGGAAGUGUGAAGAUGAAGAAUCAGGAGGAGAAAAGACAGCUUGACUUCUGUAUCAUUCAGGAGAAUAAUGGCAAAACACCUAGCAAUGAAAAAAGCCAUUAGCAUGUGCUUUUCAGUCAUGUUCACUCUGCUGCCACCUCUCAGA
RNAcentral lists this long non-coding RNA (408 nucleotides) under Homo sapiens (human). RNAcentral's name for it is "non-protein coding lnc-OSTC-5:1". The record is from RNAcentral. Lineage: Eukaryota; Metazoa; Chordata; Mammalia; Primates; Hominidae.